UACGGAGGGUGCAAGCGUUAUCCGGAUUUACUGGGUUUAAAGGGUGCGUAGGCGGGUAGGUAAGUCAGUGGUGAAAUCUUCGAGCUUAACUCGGAAACUGCCAUUGAUACUAUUUAUCUUGAAUACUUUGGAGGUAAGCGGAAUAUGUCAUGUAGCGGUGAAAUGCUUAGAUAUGACAUAGAACACCAAUUGCGAAGGCAGCUUACUACACAGUCAUUGACACUGAGGCACGAAAGCGUGGGGAUCAAACAGG
This 253-nucleotide ribosomal RNA is filed under the name uncultured bacterium. RNAcentral describes it as "partial 16S ribosomal RNA". It matches the Rfam family "Bacterial small subunit ribosomal RNA", at positions 524 to 776 of the family's 1533-position model. The record is from RNAcentral.